GUGCCAGCCGCCGCGGUAAUACGAAGGGGGCUAGCGUUGUUCGGAAUUACUGGGCGUAAAGCGCACGUAGGCGGACAUUUAAGUCAGGGGUGAAAUCCCGGGGCUCAACCCCGGAACUGCCUUUGAUACUGGGUGUCUGGAGUCCGGAAGAGGUGAGUGGAAUUCCGAGUGUAGAGGUGAAAUUCGUAGAUAUUCGGAGGAACACCAGUGGCGAAGGCGGCUCACUGGUCCGGUACUGACGCUGAGGUGCGAAAGCGUGGGGAGCAAACAGGAUUAGAAACCCUUGUAGUCC
This 292-nucleotide ribosomal RNA is filed under the name uncultured bacterium. RNAcentral describes it as "partial 16S ribosomal RNA". It matches the Rfam family "Bacterial small subunit ribosomal RNA", at positions 505 to 796 of the family's 1533-position model. The record is from RNAcentral.